RNAcentral lists this ribosomal RNA (500 nucleotides) under uncultured bacterium. RNAcentral describes it as "partial 16S ribosomal RNA". It matches the Rfam family "Bacterial small subunit ribosomal RNA", at positions 28 to 507 of the family's 1533-position model. The record is from RNAcentral.
GACGAACGCUGGCGGCGUGCUUAACACAUGCAAGUCGAACGGGUCUGCCCUGUUUUUUGCGGGGUGGGUCAGUGGCGAACGGGUGAGUAACACGUGAGUAACCUGCCCCUCACUUCUGGAUAACCGCUUGAAAGGGUGGCUAAUACGGGGUGUUCUGGCUGUGCCGCAUGGUGUGGCUGGGAAAGAUUCACUUUUGUGGUGUUUUGGUGGGGGAUGGGCUCGCGGCCUAUCAGCUUGUUGGUGGGGUGAUGGCCUGCCAAGGCUUUGACGGGUAGCCGGCCUGAGAGGGUGGGCGGUCACACUGGGACUGAGAUACGGCCCAGACUCCUGCGGGAGGCAGCAGUGGGGGGUAUUGCACAAUGGGCGGAAGCCUGGUGCAGCGACGUCGCGUGAGGGAUGGAGGCCUUCGGGUUGUGAACCUCUUUCGCCGGUGAAGAAGGUCCUGCUCUUUGUGGUGGGGUUGACGGUAGCCGGGUUAUGAAGCGCCGGCUAACUACGUG